AUUGAACGCUGGCGGCAUGCCUUACACAUGCAAGUCGAACGGCAGCACGGACUUCGGUCUGGUGGCGAGUGGCGAACGGGUGAGUAAUGUAUCGGAACGUACCUUUCAGUGGGGGAUAACGUAGCGAAAGUUACGCUAAUACCGCAUAUUCUGUGAGCAGGAAAGCAGGGGAUCGAAAGACCUUGCGCUGAUUGAGCGGCCGAUAUCAGAUUAGCUAGUUGGUGGGGUAAAGGCCUACCAAGGCGACGAUCUGUAGCGGGUCUGAGAGGAUGAUCCGCCACACUGGAACUGAGAUACGGUCCAGACUCCUACGGGAGGCAGCAGUGGGGAAUUUUGGACAAUGGGGGCAACCCUGAUCCAGCCAUGCCGCGUGAGUGAAGAAGGCCUUCGGGUUGUAAAGCUCUUUCGGCCGGGAAGAAAUCGCAUAGGCUAAUACCCUGUGUGGAUGACGGUACCGGAAUAAGAAGCACCGGCUAACUACGUG
This 484-nucleotide ribosomal RNA is filed under the name uncultured bacterium. RNAcentral describes it as "partial 16S ribosomal RNA". It matches the Rfam family "Bacterial small subunit ribosomal RNA", at positions 30 to 507 of the family's 1533-position model. The record is from RNAcentral.